GUAGGUGAACCUGCGGAAGGAUCAUUAAUGAAUCAAAUUCGGUCUUCUGUGCUGGUGGAAACACAUGUGCACGUUGAUCGUAAUUCCAUCCUCCUCCCAACCGUCCAUGUGUGUGUUUGGUCGACCUCGGUCGAAGAGUUGUGGCCCUUGGCCCCGAUUCGUUCCAGAUGCACCUUGGUUAUUUCACCCACUCUGGGUACUAGAAACAAAGAACAUUUUAUAUAAACUAUACAACUUUCAACAACGGAUC
Molecule: unclassified non-coding RNA, 250 nt
Filed under: plant metagenome
Description: partial contains small subunit ribosomal RNA, internal transcribed spacer 1, and 5.8S ribosomal RNA
Source: RNAcentral